RNAcentral lists this ribosomal RNA (255 nucleotides) under uncultured bacterium. Its description in RNAcentral is "partial 16S ribosomal RNA". It matches the Rfam family "Bacterial small subunit ribosomal RNA", at positions 524 to 776 of the family's 1533-position model. The record is from RNAcentral.
UACGUAGGGUGCAAGCGUUAAUCGGAAUUACUGGGCGUAAAGCGUGCGCAGGCGGUUUUGUAAGUCUGUCGUGAAAUCCCCCGGGCUCAACCUGGGAAUGGCAUUGGUGACUGCACGGCUAGAGUGUGUCAGAGGGGGGUAGAAUUCCACGUGUAGCAGUGAAAUGCGUAGAGAUGUGGAGGAAUACCGAUGGCGAAGGCAGCCCCCCUGGGAUAACACUGACGCUCAUGCACGAAAGCGUGGGGAGCAAACAGG